This 484-nucleotide ribosomal RNA is filed under the name uncultured bacterium. RNAcentral describes it as "partial 16S ribosomal RNA". It matches the Rfam family "Bacterial small subunit ribosomal RNA", at positions 28 to 507 of the family's 1533-position model. The record is from RNAcentral.
AUUGAACGCUGGCGGCAUGCUUUACACAUGCAAGUCGAACGGCAGCGCGGGCUUCGGCCUGGCGGCGAGUGGCGAACGGGUGAGUAAUGCAUCGGAACGUGCCCAGUAGUGGGGGAUAGCCCGGCGAAGGCCGGAUUAAUACCGCAUACGACCUGAGGGUGAAAGCGGGGGACCGAAAGGCCUCGCGCUAUUGGAGCGGCCGAUGUCGGAUUAGCUAGUUGGUGGGGUAAAGGCUUACCAAGGCGACGAUCCGUAGCUGGUCUGAGAGGACGACCAGCCACACUGGGACUGAGACACGGCCCAGACUCCUACGGGAGGCAGCAGUGGGGAAUUUUGGACAAUGGGGGCAACCCUGAUCCAGCCAUGCCGCGUGCGGGAAGAAGGCCUUCGGGUUGUAAACCGCUUUUGUUCGGGAAGAAAUCCUCUGGGCUAAUACCCCGGGGCGAUGACGGUACCGGAAGAAUAAGCACCGGCUAACUACGUG